CGAAAAAGGCCUCACUCAUCAAACAAUGAAAGCUUAAAAGGAGAAAAGGGUUUUGGGAGUGGUGUACCACUCGAGUUUGUCAAAAAGAUUGGCAUAAAGGAUGUGCCAACUCAAGUGUGUAUAUCCAUGACUCAGUACACAAGGGACCAUAAGCAAGAAGCAUUAAGUUCGUUCAGUUCAAAUAAGGUUGUAGUUGGCUUCAAAGAUUGAGUUUCAGCAACUAAUGAGAUUCAGGAAGACUUUUCAAGGCUCGAAACAUACAAGGCUUUUUGAAAGAUGCAAUAGCUACUCGAGUGUGAGAUAGUGUUCUUUACAAGGCAUCUUAAAUCAUUGCUCCAAAUGCAAAUGAAUGCAACCUAUAUGCUCUAGACUCUCCUAAAAAUGCAAGUGAUGCAAUCUAUAUGUUUUUUUUAAUGCAAAAAGGUAUGUGUGCAAGACUCAAUGCAGAUUCAUCAAAGCAAA
This 462-nucleotide long non-coding RNA is filed under the name Brassica napus (rape). RNAcentral's name for it is "long non-coding RNA (BNAP_LNC013281)". The record is from RNAcentral. Lineage: Eukaryota; Viridiplantae; Streptophyta; Magnoliopsida; Brassicales; Brassicaceae.